Molecule: long non-coding RNA, 5229 nt
Filed under: Sus scrofa (pig)
Lineage: Eukaryota; Metazoa; Chordata; Mammalia; Artiodactyla; Suidae
Description: lncRNA (ENSSSCG00035045426.1)
Source: RNAcentral
CUGGGAAACUCCCUAUGCCGCAAGUGCGGCCCUAAAAAGCAAAAUAAAAAAAUCAAAAUAAAAAAUAAAGUAUGUUCAGAGAAAAAGGCAACUGACAGGCAGCAUGCAUCAAUGAGGUAGAAGGACCAUCUCCUGGGGCUAGCUGGCCAUCUCUCUAAGAUGGCACAGGAGUGGGUGCUGCCUGUAGGGGUGGUACAACCUCUCCAGUGAGCUUCUGAGUUUGUUCAGCAAGGGAAUGAGAGGUCAGGUGCCUGCGAGGGACAAAGGAUGCCCAGACCUGGCACUCUGGAUCUUCCGACUCCGAAAGGGAGUCCUCCACCAGGCAGAAGGGAAGCUGGGGCGGCGCUUGUUUCCCACCUGCUCUGGAGUACGCACGUAUGGGAAACAGGCAGGGUCUCCUGGGGGAAAAAGAGGAGUAAUUCAGAGUGCCUUCUGUGUGCUCAUAUUUUCCUCCCACGUAGUAAAACACACACAGACACACACAUGCACACAUGCAUGCACACCUGGAACAAGCUUGUUCGGGGUGUUUUAGAUGGUAAGACCACCCUGGGAUGCGGAGCUCCAGCUUGGGGCCUGAGAUGAUCCAUUCUGAAGUUACAUGCAUCUGCCUUCAAAUCCUGACUCUUUCAUUUAUAGCGAAAGGACCAGAAUCAAAGCCUUAAAUCUCUCAUUUGCCUCAUCUGCAAAAGGACCCUGGAAGGCUCACCACAGCAGACUGUUCCCACGUUCUGAGGAUUAAACAAAAACCUACAGGGGAGGUCCUGGCAAACAUCACGUGCUCAAUAACCGGGGUGGGGGGCGCUUAUUAUUAUUCCCUAAGGGGGAGAGACAGACGGCAACAUUUAGGGGAGCUUUGAUAAGGCGGGAGCUGUCUCAUCACAAUCAGAAUCCCCUUGUACCCACCCCAUGCCCAGUGCAGGAGGGAGAAUUACCCCCAUCUGGCAGGUUUGCCCAGAACCACACAGCAUGUAAAUGGCAGAAGUUUUGAUCUUUCUAGAACCAGAGAGGCCUGGCUGGAGGUGGGCUCGGCUGUUCUUUUACUCAUGGAAAGAACACUCAGUAGCUCUGUAGGCACUUGGCUGGCGAGAAUCCUGAUGUGAGCACAACGUUUCUGGGAAAAGGGACUUUGGCAAACCUCUCCGUCAGCCAUCAGGAGGUGAUCAACGGGAGGAGAGUACUAGGAAAAGCCGUUUUUCAAAAUCUUCUUUGAAACAGAGCUGAUUCCCCUAGACAAACAGAGAGCAGAAUUCAUGUAAUUACCUGUGCCCACACCCCUGUCAUCUUCCCUGUUGGCAGGCAGCAUAUUUUAUUUUUUAAGCAAAGAAAAACAAAACAGAGAUGCUGUUGUUCACACAUUAGCAGGCUGAAAACUCCCUCUUGCUUCUCUGUUGCCGUCAUCAGUGUAAUGCAUCAGGAUGAAUUUGGAGAGCAGGUCAACUAAUGCAUCUGCUAAAAAUUGGUAAAAGGAACGCUGGUUUCUCAGUGUUGGCUAGUGGGGAAAUAGCAUCAAUUGUUUCCCGAUUCUUUGGAGAAAUAAACGAAGGGUCUCCCCUUCAGUGGACACGAGCUCCCUGCUCCCACCAAAGGUGCCUGGUAGGUAGGAGCUCAAGAGGGCAGGUAUGCAGCGACACCACUGCCUGCGGCCCCCACACCUUCCACCUGGACCACCUGCUUCUCUUCCCAAGGCCCGACCAGGUGCCACAUCCCAAGAGAGAGGAAAGUGAGGCCUCGCUGUGUGUUUGCAAAGUCCCUCUUGGGGCUGCUGGGGCGAGUGUGUGUUCGGGGUGGAAGGGUCUGGGCAUCUACUGGCCAGAUGGCGGAGUCCUAGUUUUCAUGUAACUGGGUCUGUCCACAGCAAACCUGGCUCAGAGCACACGGUCAGUUACACGUCCUGAACCCUUUCCUUCCAGUAUCCCUUCUGGAGCCCUGGAGAGUCAAUAUCUUCUUCCAAACUCACAGAGAUAUGCUUCCAGCUAGACUUGCAACUGCAUGAAAACAGACUUUUGCACAUUCUCAGAGAUGAACCUCCUGGGAGACUCAGUCCUGGGGUUCCUCAGGGAACGCAGUGGGAGUCAGAGCGGCUGGUCAAUUCUGUGGUCCCCUAAUUGCCUCCCUUUCCAGGCCCAUCCCACAGCCGGGCUGAGCCCAGAAGACAUCACGAGCACGGGUCUCUGGUUUCCCUCCCUCCGUGGAGACCCAGGGCACAGGGCUGGCCUCCAAUGGACCACGAGGCCAGGGAGAAAGCACAGGUGUGAAGCAAUCCUGGGGACCCAGGGGAAUGACCAGGAAUGGAAAUCUACCAUGGGAAGCAGUGAGGCAAAGGGUAAAAAUAAGUAAGUUAUCAAUGGUACAGUACAAUCUCAACGUUAUUGAAGCAAUAAACUGUGUGUAUGUUAGGUUCAUAAAUUUCGAAAAAAAAAAACAGAAAGAAUGCAUCAAGACACAAAGUUUUGUGCUCCCCUCCACCCCAACUGCUUGGAAAAUAGGUGAAUUUAUUGAUUUAUUUAUGUGGGCAGGGAUCUCUUAACGGAGACGAACAGAGUCAUUCUCCAAGCUUUCCUGUGCCCCGCAGAUGGCUUCCCCAUAAUCAAGAGGAUGAAGCAGAGUUCCCACUGUCACUCAGCCGGUUAAGGACCCAACGAGUACCCAUGAGGAUACGGGUUCAAGUGCUGGCCUUGCCCAGUGGGUUAAGGACCAGGCGUUGCAGUGAGCUGUGGCUUAGGUUGCAGGUGCAGCUCGGAUCCCGUGUGGCUAUGGCUGUGGCUGUGGCUGUGACGUGGACCUGCAAUACAGCUCCCAUUCGACCCCUAGCCUGGGAACGUCCACAUGCCACAGGUGCAGCAUAUCAAAGAAAAAAAAAAAAAAAAGAGGAUAAAGCUUUACACAUCAACAAACAUCUAGCUGUUAGGCUAUAAAGUGUGUAUGAAAGCGACUGUGACCGCCUUUGUACAGAGCAGACUAAGUAGAGGCAGCUUCCUCUUAACCGAGUCUAGUUCUCCCCGUCCCGGGGCGGGGCGGCUCCCCCCUUGACCAUCUCCAUCCUCACCUGGAGGUCCUGGGACCCGUAAGCUACACACCAAAGUCAAGAGCAAAGAAAUGAGACAGGUUUGAUGUAAGACACAGCUUGUGGCUUCACUGCAGACAGGCAAACAAGGCUCCCCUUCCAGCUCUGCAACCCCCAGCCUGCAAUCUUCAGACAAGUUCUUGAUUCUUACCUGGCCUCAUGUUCCUCAUCUGGAUAGGGGGCCUCUCUUUUGUCUCCAAGUAACCACUGUGGAAAUUUCACAGCACAGCUGACCACCUCGGCACAGGCACGGGAAAAAAAAAAAUGACAACUGUGAAUCAGAAAAGCAAACAAUCUCAGCUCAGUAAACAGGGAAUGCAAAUAAAGUGUGCCUUUACUUUUUCUUAAAAUGAAAGAAAACCAGCAUAUUCCACCUUCACACACGCCUCAGAUACAAUGGUACAACUGGAUGAUAGCUGAACAAGGGCUUCGAUGUUUCAAAGUAAAGCCAGACCGCCAGAAUCUUCUACUAAGCCUCUGUUGUCCAGUAUGGUAGCCAAACUGACAACAUGUGGCUAUUGAAAAUGGCUAGUCUGCACUGAGGUUUUCUUCAGUACAAAAUAUACCCUAGGAGUUCCUGUCAUGUGCAGUGGAUGAAGUAUCUGACCUCAGUGGCUCAGGUCGCUGACGAGGUGCAGGUUUGAUCCCCAGCUCAGCACAAAGGAUCUGGUGUUGCUGCAGCUCAGAUUCAAUCCCUGGCCUGGGAACUUCCAUAUGCCAUGGGUACAGUUUAAAAAAAAAAAAUUUAAAUUAAAUACACCCUAGAUUUCAAAAUUGUAGCCUGAAGGAAGCUCAUGUAUCUCAUUCGUAUUUGUGCAUGGAUUAUAUGUUGACCUCAUAAUAUUUUAGAUAGAAGAAAUCAAAUAAGAGCUAUUAUUAAAAUUAAUUUCACCUGUCACACUUUACUUUCCAUGUACCUGACAAGAAAAUUUUAAAUGACUUCGUGGCCAGCACCAUAUGUCUACUGACAGUGCUGAUCUAGAGGAAAGAUUUUCUUCCUGGGGACAGGCUCUCUCUGCCUGCUCUUCCAGCCUCCAUGAGGCAUGAGAACUCCAUCAAGGGUGUUGCACAAAGGGAAGAUGAAAGGGCUGAAGGCAUUUAUGCCACUGUCCUGGUCCUCGCUGGGUUAUGGCGGCUGUCAUCUCAGCCACGUUUUCUUCUUCCCUCCUCCCUCCUCCUCUUCCUUGCUCUUUCCUCUUUUUUCCUCUUUUUGUAAAAUCAUCUAUGCUAUUGGCCUGCCAUUGCUAAGCUCUGAUAGGAGUGAGGUACCAGUCAGAUAAUUAGCUCCUGUUAUACUUCACUCAUCAUUAGCAACUGAUUUACUGGGAAAGCUCCACUCCAGGUAAAAUCAUUACCUGCCAGUGUGAUGUGACUUGCAGAGACAGGUUUUGCCUGCCCAGAAUACUUCCAGUGUUCUUUAAGUAACAGUGCUGUGGUUUUCCUUUGCUAAACUGAUCAAUGCCUUUGGUUGUGCAAAUCACAGUGCCCUACACGCCUCCCCUCCCCACUGGACACUCAGAAUAAGUCAACUCCCAUUCCCAGAACAGAAAUCUCAAGAGAAAUGACUCUCCAGGGGAAUGAAGGUGGGAUCUAAGCUGUUUGUCUAUCAAUCUCCCAAAGAAGGGCCAAUUGCUCUUGCUCCUGGAUUCUUAGAGCUGUCUUGAUACCGUGCCUGAUUGAUUUUCAAUUCUUCCUUCAAUCUGAUGAGCUAACCGGUAGCCUUGAAAUAACUUCCUUUUGCAUGUAAGCUACCGGGAGUCAUUUUCCAUUACUUGCAGCCACAGACCUAUAUAUUUUUUUUUUUUUUUUUUUUGGCCACACCACGGCACAUAGAGUCCCCAGGCAAGGGGUCAGACCCAAGCAGCAGCUGCAGCUUAUGCCACAGCGGCAACAAUGCUGGAUCUUUUAACCCACUGUGCUGGGCCUGGGAGUGAACCUGCAUCCCAGUGCUUCAGAGACACUGGAACCCACUGUGUCACAACAGGAACUCCUAUGGUAUUAUUUUGAUUCUGCAAAACAGUGAAAGGUUGUAAAAAAGUAUCCAAGGAUAUUUAUCCCCAGGCUGUCAAUAUCAGUAUCAACAGUAAUAAGAUAGAAUAAAGAGAUAAAACAUUUGAAAUACAACCAUCAGCUUUAUCUUUGUUUAAAAAAAAAAAAAAAAAAAA